RNAcentral lists this small RNA (101 nucleotides) under Desulfosporosinus youngiae. RNAcentral describes it as "Guanidine-I sequence". It matches the Rfam family "Guanidine-I riboswitch aptamer". From Rfam's summary of the family: This family represents a conserved RNA structure found upstream of the ykkC and yxkD genes in Bacillus subtilis and related genes in other bacteria. The record is from RNAcentral. RNAcentral also lists the same sequence under 1 other name. Lineage: Bacteria; Bacillati; Bacillota; Clostridia; Eubacteriales; Desulfitobacteriaceae.
UUUUAAGUUUUAUAGGGUUCCGCAGUUAUAAUAACUGGUCUGGUCCGAGAUAAAACGCACAGUUUUAACUGUGUUCACGGAAGGAUAAAAGCCUGGGAGAU